GACAACAUUGCGUAAUGUCACAAAAUGAUGAAAAGUACCUUCGAAUCACUCUAUCUCACCUUGAUAUUCUUGGAUUCGUUCCCUGAGAUGCUUACAGAAAUUGCUUGGACUGCUUGUUGACUCAAUCAAAGAGUCGUUAUUUGGACACCACAACGACAGAUGGUAACCAGGACAUUGCGGAGGUUUGGGUGGAGUGACAGUUAUUGGCAACAACGUUAGCAAUGACAGGGCUUGCACUCAAAACUCAAUGGGUGAAAACACAAAUUUAGUCAGAAAUCGAAUCUUUUAACUUGACUUUUACAAGGUAUGACUCAAACAAAUCGCUUUGGAAUCAUGAUGGAAUUAGCUUUACACACAUUUUAACAGCAAAUCGUUUGGAGAAUCUGAUACUAUCACUGCUUCACUUACAGUCUCUUUGCUGUGGCAGAGAGUGGUUCUGAGACUGCAACUGCUGGAUCACUCACAUCAUUUUCACAUCGAGGUCGAGUUUCCUGCUUCGAGAGAGAUGAAAGUAUCACUUUGUGGAAAUAUCACCACUUCAAACUGCCCACAGAAGGUUCCUCCUGAUGACUCCAUCUUUCUCUUUUUGGAUUCCUCCUGAUACUUCAGUGCUGUACUUGGUCAGUUAUUUGAUUGGCCUUCAGGUGAGAAUCACAUUAGCCCAAUGUAUUCAUCUUGUGCAGUAUUGACAUCG
RNAcentral lists this long non-coding RNA (694 nucleotides) under Eptatretus burgeri (inshore hagfish). RNAcentral's name for it is "lncRNA (ENSEBUG00000017318.1)". Lineage: Eukaryota; Metazoa; Chordata; Myxini; Myxiniformes; Myxinidae. The record is from RNAcentral.